UGGCGGCCUGGCCCUCAGCCCCGCCUCAGGGCUGUGCCCCCGACUGCGCCCGGCUCUGUCCCCACCUCCCCAGCCCCAGGUCUCCCAAAGUUCAUCAGGAGAACCACCUACAGCCAAGAACAGAAAAGGAUUCAAGAAAGCCGCACAGAUAUCAUGCCCUGACCUGCAAUGAGGCUGCUCACUUCCCAUGACUUCUGCUUGAUACCAUUCAACCCUGGUUAGCUCAUGCUGAAGAAAUAUUUACUAGAAGCCUCAGAUAUGGGUGCCUAGAAGGAAAAAGAUCCAAGUUCUCUGUGGUGGUGCAACCUGUGGGAACUAUUGCCUCAUGCUCAGAAGGCCAAGCACUAGGCUCCCAUACAAUACCUACAAGACAGACACUCUGGGAGGCAGAUUUCUCUUUUGGAGGGAGACCCCAGGUGCUCUCCUCUGGGUGCCCGAGUGUUGGAAUGGGCGGAUGCCAAGACUUCAUUCUAGCUCUUGGUCAGCAGCAGCACUAAGGGUCUCUGAGAAGCAUCAGAGAUUUCACCACUGAUGAACUGCCAGGAGGCUAGUGGGGGCGGACUGAGGAGACACUGAAACACCGAAGCUGCCGCCACCACCGGCUGAUGCAAGUUUUAUUGAGACAAUAUACAAA
RNAcentral lists this long non-coding RNA (634 nucleotides) under Homo sapiens (human). Its description in RNAcentral is "HSALNT0275524". Lineage: Eukaryota; Metazoa; Chordata; Mammalia; Primates; Hominidae. The record is from RNAcentral.